GGUAGGACGAGCAGUGCACCCUCAGAGGUGGUCUCAGGCUCGGAUGAGGUGAAGGGUCUGAAAACAGCUUGACAGGCACGAGGUGUGUGUCGUGGGCUGGCUUUUGAACAACUGUUGUUCUACAUCUUCACAGCCAGAGACCCUGCUCUGCAACAGGGAUGGACGCCCGAGAGGGAUAGACGGAUCCCUGCCCUCCAAGUCCUCCCCAAAGUCCAAGUCAACCAAAAAGGAUCUCCAGAUGGCUCACCCACGAUUAGGUCUUCUUCAAUUGUUCCAGGAGGAUUAAUUAGUCACCACCACGAGUAUGAGGACCAAAUCAAGAGGCAAUAUGGCAGAGAAAGAGAGAGGGAGGGAGGCCCUCGCCUACUGAUGAGGGAGUUUGCACUGCUGUUGGGGGAGAGAGGCAAUAAACAUAGAAACCGAUUAAUUUCAGAAAGGGUGCAGCUUGGGAAUUGAAGGUUUUAGAAGUUUCCUUAGUGGUUCCAAUGUUCAGCCAAGGCUGAGAACCAUGGCUGUAAAUCAAUGGUUCUUACAGUCCCCAGACCAGCAGCAUCAGCAUCACUUGGUAACUUAUUAGAAAUGCAAAUCCUAUAUGGGCUUUAUUGUUUUCAGGCAAUUUCUUUCUAUUCCUAAUUUGUUGAAAGUUUUUAUCAUUAAAG
RNAcentral lists this long non-coding RNA (659 nucleotides) under Equus caballus (horse). RNAcentral describes it as "lncRNA (ENSECAG00000051172.1)". The record is from RNAcentral. Lineage: Eukaryota; Metazoa; Chordata; Mammalia; Perissodactyla; Equidae.